GUUUAUCCUUAUCUCUCCAAAUGCUAUUCCUUAUCUAUUUGAGAUUCUCCUCCAAAGCUCUAUAAAAGUAUACUUCUCCUUCAUUGUUUUUCACUUUAGUAUCCAUCUCUCUCUCUUUCUCUUUCUAAUUUUCUCUCUAUCAAUCUUUCACCAUGCCUUCCAUGCUCAAGAAUUGGAUGAAAGACGUAGAUGUUACUCACUGGAAGACAUUACCUAGGAUGUUCUUAGAAGGCCUAAGGUUCCAAAAUUUUGAGAACUUAUGAAGAAUUCAGCAUCAUAUUAGGUAGGAAACCUUCUAUCCAUGAUUCCAUCAUUUUACCAUCUUUUGAGGAUGAUUUUCAACUCAAAGUACAACCUUCUUUUAAGCUUUCAUGGAAAGAAGUUCAUUCUCUUACUCCUAUGAAAGGGUUUAUCUCUUUGCUUACUCGUGGUGAAAAUUGGGUUUAUCUCAACUCAAAGAACAUUAAUGUUUUAUACUUCUCUUUAAUCACUUUUUACCUCUUAUCACAUGAGUCUCUACAUGGCAGUUAUCAAAUUAUUCAUAUUCUGGAAGAAUUACGAAUCGGUGCCACAUUGGCUCCCACUGUGUUAGUUGAAACUUUCAACGGUUUAGAUAAGGUGAACUUGGAUUCUACCAAACACUUCAAGCAACCCUCUUCUAUUAUAGGUAGACAAACUAAUAGGGCAGCAGACUAGGCUGCUAGUGCUUCAGUGAGAGAUCAUUGGGUAUAUUGAGUAUACCAUAUUUUGCAUUUUGUAUUAUAAUGUAUGAUCACUGUAUGUAUAUAGUGUUCUUGGUUUUGAGC
RNAcentral lists this unclassified non-coding RNA (806 nucleotides) under Hevea brasiliensis (rubber tree). The record is from RNAcentral. Lineage: Eukaryota; Viridiplantae; Streptophyta; Magnoliopsida; Malpighiales; Euphorbiaceae.